UUUUUUUUGUCCUUUUGCCUUUUCUAGGGCCGCUUCCACGGCAUAUGGAGGUUCCCAGGCUAGGGGGCUAAUCAGAGCUGUAGAUGCCAGCCUAUGCCAGAGCCACAGCAAGGCAGGAUCCGAGCCACCUCUGCGACCUACAUCACAGCUCAGGGCAAUGCUGGAUCCUUAACCCACUGAGCAAGGCCAGGGAUCGAACCCGCAACCUCAUGGUUCCUUGUUGGGUUUGUUAACCACUGCGCCACGACGGGAACUCCAGCAAAGUUAAGUUUUAUUUGGGGUGAAACUGAAACUGACAGUAUUAACGGCCUGAACCUAGCCAGAACACAGAUUGGGACUUGAACCCAGAGUAAUUCCAGAUGGGGACUCAAACCCAAGGUUUUAAAUUAGAAUCAAUCACCCUAUGUCUGGAUUCACUAAGGUUCAGGAUCUUCAUGUCCCCAUGCAGAAGGAAUUCAGCGAGAGACAAAGUGAUAGGCAAGAAAUACAGUUAUUAGGAUAGGACGCUUGUGAGAGAUGCAAGCAUCCUGGCAAGGAGGCUCUGCCCUGAGGAGCUGGUGGGUUAGUUUUGUCAUCCAAGGGGAGUCAGGGUUGGACAAGCCUGCCUUUUCCUUUCCGGGAGUAGCAGCUCCUCCUUGGUAUCAGGUAAGGUGUGUGUUCAAAUCAGCAGAAGGGAGGUCCUCAAACUCCAUCCCUUGGUCUGAAUCUGAAUGCAGGCCUCAUCCCAUCUCCCAUCCAAUGACCUGAGGCAAUUCUCGCACUUGUACUAGUCAAGCAAGCCUGCCUUGUUCUGAUGACUUUUCUGAGCAAUUUAUUAACUUACAGUGAUCUCCCAGGGUUCCCUAAAUUUCCCUGGUUAUCUGUGGUCCUUUGCUGGGACUUCUAAAACCACCUGUGCCUACUCCAUCCCUGUCAAAAUUAGGACUUAAAUCCGGGAGGCAGCAUUUGAGGUAGCCGUGGGAAACUUCUCAGAGGAGGAAGCUAGAAUAUGAGUUUUUGCCACAAAGGGAAGGUAGUAGGAACAAAAGAUUUACAGACAACCAGAUUUACCUGAAGAGAUUUAUAGAAAACCAGUUUCUAUGGGAAGAUGUAAGUGUCCGGGCUUACUGGAAUCACUUCUUUGAUAUGCACCUCAGCGGUGGGCCAGUCUUCUCUGUUUCUUUCCUAGGUUCUGCUGGGGACAUGGCUUGGAUUGUCAGUGUCGAAAAAUGAAACACAUGAACACAGGGAGAUCUUGACAAGGCUCUUUAUUUCUGCGGAAGGGCGCACGCGUGUGCUCAAAAAGCCCGCGCACUGAACAAAGGACCCUCCCUUGUUUAAUCCCUAAUGCAGGUGACUUAUCUGUUCCCUUCCCAUUGGUCAGGUCCAGGUGCACUUUCUUCCCGGUUGGCUAAUUGAAACAAAUUGUUGCUGGGAAAAGAGUAAAGAGGAAGGGGAUCGCAGGGGGUGUUUCAUUGGAAACUGGAGCAAAAUAGAGUAACCAAGAUUUCCUUUGAUAGAGAAGAUGUUACGUUGCUUUCCACAGUUCCCUCAAGGCUCACUGGUCCACUCUUGGGAGUGGCUGUUCUCACAGCUGACCAUGAUAUCUUUAGUUUUGUCCACUUAACUACAGCUCAGUCUAUCAGUUUAGCUCUGAAAUACUGCCCCAAAGAGGAUAGGGGGAAUAUCAAGUUAUAAAUCAUGAAGGUGAAGGGGGAGGUGCAUGCAGCCAUGCACACGUUUUGCAGACAAACGUUUGCUGCUGGUCUCAUGAAAGUUACUACUAGUCACAGGCAUCAGUCAUCAUUAAAGGAUUUUAAUGUUUUCCUAGAUAUGAGGAGUUGUAAGAUUUGGGGUCAUAAAAUCUCCUAAAAAUAUGUAACUAUCUGAAGACUUGUUCUUCCAGUUUUUCUAGAACACAGAGUACCUCAUUCUGGUCUCCACCCCAAGCUCCUCCGCUCAGGUGGUGCUGCAGGUCAGCAGCUGUAGCGGCUCAUGUUUUACUCCAUGUAGAGGCUGAUGGCAAGUGCCAAACUUUAGUUCACAUGAGCUACAUUUUGGGCUGUUGCUCGCAUUUGUGAUGAACCUGCUCUUGUUUUUGUGAAGUCGACUUUGAAGGGAAGCUAUCUGUUGUAGCUCAGGAGUAAAUUUGCAAUUCUCUCUCAGCUGCCCUUAAAGUGCUUUGAAAUUCUCUAUAAGUUAUACUGUCCAACAGAGUGGCAAUGUUUCCAACUAGUGCUUUGGAUGGCAGAAUUGUCCAGUCAACACUGACGCCCUGUGUUGUAGAAUUCCCAGAAAUCACCUCAGAGGACACUCGAGGAAGAUGAAGAAUAGCUUUAUUAUGCCGGCGGGUCCACAGGAAAUCGAUUCCCAAUCAUGGACCCUGAGCAGAAAAGGAGAGAUACAUUUACAGUGCUUGCUUAUGUGUCUAACAUGCUACAUUAACCUUUAGUUACAUGCAGGAUACAGAAAGAGGUAUAGCUGUACAAAAUGCCUUAUAUUGUUACUUUAAUGAUUAACCUUAAGUACAAUCUAGCUGUUUUUGAAUUUAUUUAGAACAAUCCCUUGGGAGUUUCUCAAGUCCUAAUGACUUUGUUUUUCUCAGAGCCCUCCUAUGAGUCACCUUAAGUUCACCAAGAUGGACAGUGGCAGCAAGAUGGCUUCACUCUUGCCAAGCUCCCUAUUCCCUUUUUCACACCCCUGCACCUGUGCUUCUGAAAUGGAGUUUUAGCUAAAGAACAACCCCCCCUUGGCUAAGAAGGCAGCUGCAAGCCUUUCCAGCUGUGCUAAUUACUAUGCCACCCUUCUUGUAAUAAUGUAACAACUGUGUGCUCUCUGUCCAAGCCAGCAGCCCUGCUAAUCAGGUACCCAGCAUUGCUUAUCAGUUCUGCUUCUGUAACCUUGCUUGCUCAGUUUCUUAGGGAGGAACACUGUCUGCUUGGGGAUGGGGGAGGUCCGGGAUGCUUACAUGGGAAAAUCAAGACCUUGUAGUGUAUAAAAGUUACUGAGAACAAAGACCUGGUGCUCAGACUCUGGAGGUGACUCCUCUGAGCCCGCACCGGUGCUGAAUAAACCUUGCUUUUCC
This 3064-nucleotide long non-coding RNA is filed under the name Sus scrofa (pig). RNAcentral describes it as "lncRNA (ENSSSCG00050005386.1)". The record is from RNAcentral. Lineage: Eukaryota; Metazoa; Chordata; Mammalia; Artiodactyla; Suidae.